This 253-nucleotide ribosomal RNA is filed under the name uncultured bacterium. RNAcentral's name for it is "partial 16S ribosomal RNA". It matches the Rfam family "Bacterial small subunit ribosomal RNA", at positions 524 to 776 of the family's 1533-position model. The record is from RNAcentral.
UACGUAGGGUGCGAGCGUUGUCCGGAAUUAUUGGGCGUAAAGGGCUCGUAGGCGGCCUGUUGCGUCUGCUGUGAAAGCCCGGGGCUCAACCCCGGGUCUGCAGUGGAUACGGGCAGGCUAGAGUCCGGCAGGGGAGACUGGAAUUCCUGGUGUAGCGGUGAAAUGCGCAGAUAUCAGGAGGAACACCGGUGGCGAAGGCGGGUCUCUGGGCCGGUACUGACGCUGAGGAGCGAAAGCGUGGGGAGCGAACAGG